GACAGAGGUGCCAAGCGUUAGGCGGAAUCACUGGGCUUAAAGCGUGUGUAGGCGGGCGAUCAAGUACCUUGUGAAAUCCCACGGCUCACCCGUGGAACUGCUGGGCAUACUGGGCGUCUUGGGCCAACUAGGGGCAGCCGGAACAAGCGGUGGAGCGGUGAAAUGCGUAGAUAUCGGAAAGAACACCAACGGCGAAAGCACUCUGCUGGGCCGACACUGACACUGAGAGACGAAAGCUAGGGGAGCGAAUGGG
This 253-nucleotide ribosomal RNA is filed under the name uncultured bacterium. RNAcentral describes it as "partial 16S ribosomal RNA". It matches the Rfam family "Bacterial small subunit ribosomal RNA", at positions 524 to 776 of the family's 1533-position model. The record is from RNAcentral.